UGGUCGGGCUACGGGACCCUUUAAGCCCAAUAAUAGCGGCCACCACUUGAGCCGCCGGUGUUACCGCGGCGGGCUGGCACCGGUCUUGCCCGGCCCUUAUUCCAGAUGCUUUUUAGGCAUCUGAAAAGCGUACGCAUUGCGCACGCACUCGAGGUCCCCUUAUCGCGCUUUCGCGCAGUGUAAAGUUUUCGCGCCUGCUGCGCCCCGUAGGACCUGGAUUCGUGUCUCAGAAUCCAUCUCCGGGCUCUUGCUCUCACAACCCGUACCGAUUAUAGGCUUGUUGGGACGUUACCCCAGCAACUACCUAAUCGGCCGCAGACCCAUCCUCAGACGCUAAAGCUUUCAACCGUGAGGCAUUCCAGCGUUCACGGAUUAUCCGGUAUUAUCUCCAGUUUCCCGGAGUUAUCCCAGAUCUGAGGGUAGGUUAUCCACGUGUUACUGAGCCGUUCGCCGAGGGCUUAACCCCUCUCGACUCGCAUGGCUUAAUCGGACCCCGAUAGCAGUGGCCACUGGCAGGAUCAACCAGGUU
This 529-nucleotide ribosomal RNA is filed under the name uncultured eukaryote. RNAcentral describes it as "partial small subunit ribosomal RNA". The record is from RNAcentral.